RNAcentral lists this ribosomal RNA (497 nucleotides) under uncultured bacterium. RNAcentral's name for it is "partial 16S ribosomal RNA". It matches the Rfam family "Bacterial small subunit ribosomal RNA", at positions 28 to 507 of the family's 1533-position model. The record is from RNAcentral.
GAUGAACGCUGGCGGCGUGCCUAAUACAUGCAAGUCGAGCGAACAGACGAGGAGCUUGCUCCUCUGACGUUAGCGGCGGACGGGUGAGUAACACGUGGAUAACCUACCUAUAAGACUGGGAUAACUUCGGGAAACCGGAGCUAAUACCGGAUAAUAUAUUGAACCGCAUGGUUCAAUAGUGAAAGACGGUUUUGCUGUCACUUAUAGAUGGAUCCGCGCCGCAUUAGCUAGUUGGUAAGGUAACGGCUUACCAAGGCAACGAUGCGUAGCCGACCUGAGAGGGUGGUAGCCCACACGGGAACUGGGACAGGGUCCAGAGUCCUGAGGGAGGGACCAGUAGGGAAUCUUCCGCAAUGGGCGAAAGCAUGACGGAGCAACGCCGAGUGAGAGAUGAAGGUCUUCGGAUCGUAAAACUCUGUUAUUAGGGAAAAACAAAUGUGUAAGUAACUAUGCCCGUCUUGACGGUACCUAAUAAAAAAGCCCCGGCUAACUACGUG